RNAcentral lists this transfer RNA (77 nucleotides) under Caudoviricetes sp. RNAcentral describes it as "tRNA-Met". The record is from RNAcentral. Lineage: Duplodnaviria; Heunggongvirae; Uroviricota; Caudoviricetes.
CGCGGAAUGGGGUAGUUGGUUGACCCGCUUGGCCCAUAACCAAGAGACCAGCAGUUCGAGUCUGCUUUCCACAACCA